This 1558-nucleotide ribosomal RNA is filed under the name Salmonella enterica. RNAcentral's name for it is "bacterial LSU rRNA". It matches the Rfam family "Bacterial large subunit ribosomal RNA", at positions 1271 to 2812 of the family's 2925-position model. The record is from RNAcentral. RNAcentral also lists the same sequence under 2 other names. Lineage: Bacteria; Pseudomonadati; Pseudomonadota; Gammaproteobacteria; Enterobacterales; Enterobacteriaceae.
UGCUGGAGGUAUCAGAAGUGCGAAUGCUGACAUAAGUAACGAUAAAGCGGGUGAAAAGCCCGCUCGCCGGAAGACCAAGGGUUCCUGUCCAACGUUAAUCGGGGCAGGGUGAGUCGACCCCUAAGGCGAGGCCGAAAGGCGUAGUCGAUGGGAAACGGGUUAAUAUUCCCGUACUUGGUGUUACUGCGAAGGGGGGACGGAGAAGGCUAUGUUGGCCGGGCGACGGUUGUCCCGGUUUAAGCGUGUAGGUGUGUGUUCCAGGUAAAUCCGGUUCACUUUAACACUGAGGCGUGACGACGAGGCACUACGGUGCUGAAGCAACAAAUGCCCUGCUUCCAGGAAAAGCCUCUAAGCAUCAGGUAACACGAAAUCGUACCCCAAACCGACACAGGUGGUCAGGUAGAGAAUACCAAGGCGCUUGAGAGAACUCGGGUGAAGGAACUAGGCAAAAUGGUGCCGUAACUUCGGGAGAAGGCACGCUGACACGUAGGUGAAGUGAUUUACUCAUGGAGCUGAAGUCAGUCGAAGAUACCAGCUGGCUGCAACUGUUUAUUAAAAACACAGCACUGUGCAAACACGAAAGUGGACGUAUACGGUGUGACGCCUGCCCGGUGCCGGAAGGUUAAUUGAUGGGGUCAGCGCAAGCGAAGCUCCUGAUCGAAGCCCCGGUAAACGGCGGCCGUAACUAUAACGGUCCUAAGGUAGCGAAAUUCCUUGUCGGGUAAGUUCCGACCUGCACGAAUGGCGUAAUGAUGGCCAGGCUGUCUCCACCCGAGACUCAGUGAAAUUGAACUCGCUGUGAAGAUGCAGUGUACCCGCGGCAAGACGGAAAGACCCCGUGAACCUUUACUAUAGCUUGACACUGAACAUUGAGCCUUGAUGUGUAGGAUAGGUGGGAGGCUUUGAAGUGUGGACGCCAGUCUGCAUGGAGCCGACCUUGAAAUACCACCCUUUAAUGUUUGAUGUUCUAACGUGGACCCGUAAUCCGGGUUGCGGACAGUGUCUGGUGGGUAGUUUGACUGGGGCGGUCUCCUCCUAAAGAGUAACGGAGGAGCACGAAGGUUGGCUAAUCCUGGUCGGACAUCAGGAGGUUAGUGCAAUGGCAUAAGCCAGCUUGACUGCGAGCGUGACGGCGCGAGCAGGUGCGAAAGCAGGUCAUAGUGAUCCGGUGGUUCUGAAUGGAAGGGCCAUCGCUCAACGGAUAAAAGGUACUCCGGGGAUAACAGGCUGAUACCGCCCAAGAGUUCAUAUCGACGGCGGUGUUUGGCACCUCGAUGUCGGCUCAUCACAUCCUGGGGCUGAAGUAGGUCCCAAGGGUAUGGCUGUUCGCCAUUUAAAGUGGUACGCGAGCUGGGUUUAGAACGUCGUGAGACAGUUCGGUCCCUAUCUGCCGUGGGCGCUGGAGAACUGAGGGGGGCUGCUCCUAGUACGAGAGGACCGGAGUGGACGCAUCACUGGUGUUCGGGUUGUCAUGCCAAUGGCACUGCCCGGUAGCUAAAUGCGGAAGAGAUAAGUGCUGAAAGCAUCUAAGCACGAAACUUGCCCCGAGAUGAGUUCU